RNAcentral lists this ribosomal RNA (612 nucleotides) under uncultured archaeon. RNAcentral describes it as "bacterial SSU rRNA". It matches the Rfam family "Archaeal small subunit ribosomal RNA", at positions 57 to 667 of the family's 1478-position model. The record is from RNAcentral.
GGUGCUUCUUCUUCGGAAGAAGUAACCCGGCGGACGGCUCAGUAACACGUGGAUAACUUGCCCUUGGGUCCGGGAUAACCCCUGAGAAAUUGGGGACAAUACCGGAUAGGGCAUCGAUAGCUGGAAUGCGCGAUGUCCAAAAGCUGAGGCGCCCAAGGAUAGGUCUGCGGCCGAUUAGGUUGUUGUUGAUGUAAUGGAUCAACAAGCCUGCAAUCGGUACGGGUUGUGAGAGCAAGAGCCCGGAGAUGGGUUCUGAGAAAAGAACCCAGGUCCUACGGGACGCAUCAGGCGCGAAAACUUUACAAUGUGCGAAAGCACGAUAAGGGAACUCUGAGUGCCUCCUAUGGAGGCUGUUCAGGUGUCUAAAAAGCACUUGAAGUAAGGGCUGGGUAAGACCGGUGCCAGCCGCCGCGGUAACACCGGCAGCCCAAGUGGUAGCCACGAUUAUUGGGUCUAAAGCGUCCGUAGCCGGCCAGGUAAGUUCUUUGGGAAAUUUAACCGCUUAACGGUUAAGCUCUCAGUGAAAUACUGCUUAACUUGGGACCGGGAGAGGUCAGAGGUACCUCAAGGGUAGGGGUGAAAUCCAUUAAUCCUUGAGGGACCACCGGUAGC